UACGGAGGAUGCGAGCGUUAUCCGGAUUUAUUGGGUUUAAAGGGUGCGCAGGCGGCACGGCAAGCCGGCGGUCAAAUCGCGGGGCUCAACCCCGCCCAGCCGUCGGAACUACCGGGCUAGAGUGGGCGAGAAGUGCGCGGAAUGCGUGGUGUAGCGGUGAAAUGCAUAGAUAUCACGCAGAACUCCGAUUGCGAAGGCAGCGCACCGGCGCCCUACUGACGCUCAGGCACGAAAGCGUGGGUAUCGAACAGG
This 252-nucleotide ribosomal RNA is filed under the name uncultured bacterium. RNAcentral describes it as "partial 16S ribosomal RNA". It matches the Rfam family "Bacterial small subunit ribosomal RNA", at positions 524 to 776 of the family's 1533-position model. The record is from RNAcentral.